Molecule: ribosomal RNA, 400 nt
Filed under: uncultured bacterium
Lineage: Bacteria
Description: bacterial SSU rRNA
Rfam family: Bacterial small subunit ribosomal RNA
Source: RNAcentral
UGGGGAAUAUUGGACAAUGGGCGAAAGCCUGAUCCAGCAAUACCGCGUGAGUGAUGAAGGUCUUCGGAUUGUAAAGCUCUUUUAGUGGAGAAGAUAAUGACGGUAUCCACAGAAAAAGCACCGGCAAACUUCGUGCCAGCAGCCGCGGUAAUACGAAGGGUGCUAGCGUUGUUCGGAAUCAUUGGGCGUAAAGCGUGCGUAGGCGGCUUGGUAAGUCGUUUGUGAAAUCCCGAGGCUUAACUUCGGAAUUGCAAUCGAAACUGCCUUGCUUGAGUUUAGUGGGGGAUAGUGGAAUUCCUAGUGUAGGGGUGAAAUCCGUAGAUAUUAGGGGGAACAUCAGUGGCGAAAGCGACUAUCUACGCUAACACUGACGCUGAGGUACGAAAGCGUGGGGAGCAAA